RNAcentral lists this ribosomal RNA (500 nucleotides) under uncultured bacterium. Its description in RNAcentral is "partial 16S ribosomal RNA". It matches the Rfam family "Bacterial small subunit ribosomal RNA", at positions 30 to 523 of the family's 1533-position model. The record is from RNAcentral.
AUUGAACGCUGGCGGUAUGCUUUUCACAUGCAAGUCGAACGGCAGCACGGACUUCGGUCUGGUGGCGAGUGGCGAACGGGUGAGUAAUGUAUCGGAACGUGCCCAGUCGUGGGGGAUAACGUAGUGAAAAUUACGCUAAUACCGCAUACGAUCUAUGGAUGAAAGAGGGGGAUCGCAAGACCUCGCGCGAUUGGAGCGGCCGAUAUCAGAUUAGGUAGUUGGUGGGGUAAAGGCCCACCAAGCCAACGAUCUGUAGCUGGUCUGAGAGGACGACCAGCCACACUGGAACUGAGACACGGUCCAGACUCCUACGGGAGGCAGCAGUGGGGAAUUUUGGACAAUGGGCGAAAGCCUGAUCCAGCCAUUCCGCGUGCAGGAUGAAGGCCCUCGGGUUGUAAACUGCUUUUGUACAGAACGAAAAGGUUUCUACUAAUACUAGGAGCUCAUGACGGUACUGUAAGAAUAAGCACCGGCUAACUACGUGCCAGCAGCCGCCGUAA